CAGCAGCCGCGGGAAAACGAAGGGGGCUAGCGUUGUUCGGAUUUACUGGGCGUAAAGCGCACGUAGGCGGAUCCUUAAGUCAGAGGUGAAAUCCCGGGGCUCAACCCCGGAACUGCCUUUGAAACUAGAUAGCUUGAAUCUUGGAGAGGCGAGUGGAAUUCCGAGUGUAGAGAUGAAAUUCGUAGAUAUUCGGAAGAACACCAGUGGCGAAGGCGACUCGCUGGACAAGUAUUGACGCUGAGGUGCGAAAGCGUGGGGAGCAAACAGGAUUAGAUACCCCAGUAGUCCCUGUCUCUUAUAC
This 301-nucleotide ribosomal RNA is filed under the name uncultured bacterium. RNAcentral describes it as "partial 16S ribosomal RNA". It matches the Rfam family "Bacterial small subunit ribosomal RNA", at positions 509 to 807 of the family's 1533-position model. The record is from RNAcentral.